Molecule: long non-coding RNA, 220 nt
Organism: Eurytemora carolleeae
Lineage: Eukaryota; Metazoa; Arthropoda; Copepoda; Calanoida; Temoridae
Exons: 2
Source: RefSeq, a predicted model, not a curated record
GUUCAUUGUGGUUUAUAUUGGUUCAGCAGUAUCCUCAAGCAAACUUAUUGCUCUCCUUAAGCAAACUUAUUGCUCAAGACCCUGCUGGAUCUACCCUAGCUCUGCUCAACCCCGAUCAGCGAAACAAUUUUUGAAACCGCUGUGCUGUUAUCAAUCUGUGAACUGAACGGAACCCUUUCUAAGAAGAUUGUAUUUAUUAAUAAAGAUUUACGUUACUUAA